AGCAGCAGCCGUCAUCCUUCAGCGUGGUGGAUGUGCUGAACUAUUUCUGCUCCAUCCAAAAAGAGGAGGAGUACAGAAAGGCUCUAUGCGUUGCACCUGCUGGUCACAACAACACUGUACUUCUGCCCUUACAUGACUGCGGUUCUUCACCCAUCUUUCGUCUGGGAGAGACUUACAGUAUGUCCAGGAUACGCAGGCCACCAGGAGUUCCUCUGCCUCCGCUGCGAAACCGUCCCUUCCUCACGCACUUUCCCCAUUUCAUCUCUUUGCCGUUCUCUCGAGUCACUCUGCGCCCCUUUCACGUCUACUCAGACGCGGACUGGCUGAAGGCCUCCCCUCACCGCUACUUCAUUCAACAGCAGUCCUUCGUGGAGUACUACAGAUGAUGCUUCAUAGUCUGUAACGUCCCCAUUAACUCAUCACACAUUAUAGCAAAU
Long non-coding RNA from Hippoglossus stenolepis (Pacific halibut), 437 nucleotides. RefSeq lists it as uncharacterized. The transcript has 3 exons. The record is from RefSeq and is a predicted model, not a curated record. Lineage: Eukaryota; Metazoa; Chordata; Actinopteri; Pleuronectiformes; Pleuronectidae.